Long non-coding RNA from Elaeis guineensis (African oil palm), 686 nucleotides. RefSeq lists it as uncharacterized. NCBI's taxonomy places the organism in Eukaryota, Viridiplantae, Streptophyta, Magnoliopsida, Arecales, Arecaceae. The record is from RefSeq and is a predicted model, not a curated record.
GACUGACUCCACGAAGACUUCUUGCUUCUCUUUCGUCUCUCUUCUAUAGUUGCUUGCUUUUUCAGGAGAUGCCCAUUGCCUUCUGCCUACUCUUAAUUCUAUUUUCCGGCUUCCCUCGAAGUUUCGUAUAGGCAGUCUUCCACACCCUGCCUACGUACAAGUAGGGAGCGUUUGCGGAUACUGGUCAGGGGAAGUUUCGUGGUUGGGAAUAGGAUGGCUUGGAAGGCUCUUCCCAUUCUCUCCAUGCUCCUACUACUUUCAAGCACUUCCGUCGUCACCCUAGCCCUCAAUACCAGCGUUCUAGCAAGCCCACCUUCGCCACCACCCGAGAUGGGAGGACCCGACGUGAAUCUUCCCUGUGAAAUAGAGCGCAUCAAGGGUCAUCCAUGCCCUGUGCACCAGAGUCCGGGACACCAUGAGCUUAACCUGCCUCCCCCACCCACUGUUCGCCAAUUGGCUUGUCGCAGAGCCCCUUAUUGUCGUGGUUAAGCAUAAGAUGCAACACUUAGAAGAAGCUCCUUCUUUUCCUCUCUUUUUUUUUUUUUAGUGUGAAUAGGAGGUAGCAGGAAGCUAUCCCUACUUUAUUUAAUGAACAAAGAAUAUAGAGUGCUCUGCAACAGAAGAAGCUGCUUUCUUCCUUCAAUAAAACAGUGACCCAGCGUAUUUCCUAUUCAUUAUCAUGCAAA